Molecule: long non-coding RNA, 779 nt
Filed under: Homo sapiens (human)
Lineage: Eukaryota; Metazoa; Chordata; Mammalia; Primates; Hominidae
Description: HSALNT0150131
Source: RNAcentral
UCAGGAUUAAAUGUUCUAGCAAGGAAACAUGAAGCUGGUCCAACGUGCUGCUGGGAUGGCUCCUUGAAGCUUGAACAUGAUGACCUUCAGCAAAGGAGGUGGAGAUGUACAGAGGAGGAGACCGUUAGUUCCCUGAGUGAAGAGAUGCUAUCUUGGUAUCUCCAGCUUCCAACCGGGGGCUUGGCACAGAAUAGGGGCUUGGUAAAUGUUUUCCAAAUGAAUGGGAUGUCUGAUGGAAAGAAGACAAGGUGAAGGAAUUCCUGGGUAAUAUGGAGAUGAGAAUCUGUGAGAAGGAUACAUGUACUGAUGCCUGUCGCGGUGGACACACAGACGCACACAUUGCGGAACACCACCAUAAGAAUAUUGAGAAUAUCGAGAACACUUCAAUAUUCCAAACUUCAAUGGAAAUAUACAUGCUGUAAAAUUUCAAAUUCAUGCUCCACUUCUUAUAAAAGGAACUGGAGUACACUCUUCUUCUGCCCUUGGACAUCAGGCUCUCUGGCCUUUGGACUCCAGGACUUAUACCAGCGCCCCUCUGGGUUCUCAGGCCUCUGUACUUGAACUGAGCCACACUGCCAGCAUGCCAGCUUCUCCAGCUUGCCAGGCCUGCUGUGGGACUUCUCAGCCUCCAUAAUCAUGUGUGCCAAUUCCCCUAAUAAAUCUCCUCUCAUCUGUCCACGUAUCUAUAUUUGCAUUCUGUUGGUUCUGUCUCUCUAGAAAAGUAUUACUAAUACACAGGUAGAGGAAGUCCCCAAGAAGAAUACUGAACUGACACCAAU